RNAcentral lists this ribosomal RNA (270 nucleotides) under uncultured bacterium. Its description in RNAcentral is "partial 16S ribosomal RNA". It matches the Rfam family "Bacterial small subunit ribosomal RNA", at positions 29 to 324 of the family's 1533-position model. The record is from RNAcentral.
AACGAACGCUGGCGGCAGGCUUAACACAUGCAAGUCGAACGGGCGUCGCAAGACGUCAGUGGCAGACGGGUGAGUAACGCGUGGGAACAUACCCUCCGGUUCGGAAUAACUCAGGGAAACUUGAGCUAAUACCGGAUACGGCUGAGAGGCGAAAGAUUGAUCGCCGGAGGAUUGGCCCGCGUCCGAUUAGCUUGUUGGCGGGGUAAUGGCCCACCAAGGCGACGAUCGGUAGCUGGUCUGAGAGGAUGAUCAGCCACAUUGGGACUGAGA